GGGGUCCUACGGGAGGCAGCAGUGGGGAAUAUUGCACAAUGGGGGAAACCCUGAUGCAGCGACGCCGCGUGAGCGAUGAAGUAUUUCGGUAUGUAAAGCUCUAUCAGCAGGGAAGAAAAUGACGGUACCUGACUAAGAAGCCCCGGCUAACUACGUGCCAGCAGCCGCGGUAAUACGUAGGGGGCAAGCGUUAUCCGGAAUUACUGGGUGUAAAGGGAGCGUAGACGGUUAAGUAAGUCUGGAGUGAAAGGCCGGGGCUCAACCCCGGGACUGCUCUGGAAACUAUUUAACUUGAGUGCAGGAGG
Molecule: ribosomal RNA, 305 nt
Filed under: uncultured bacterium
Lineage: Bacteria
Description: bacterial SSU rRNA
Rfam family: Bacterial small subunit ribosomal RNA
Source: RNAcentral